UAAAGAUGACUGCAGAUGGUGUCCAAAAAGCCAAAGAAGAAGCCUCUCAAGUGUCUUCAUAACCACAGAUGUCAGGGCCACCGGUCUGUAGUCUUUGACCCCUGAUGGCCUCCCGACCUUGGGCACUGGCACAAUGCACGCGGUCUUCCACUGCCUUGGCACCUGCCCUAUCUGCAGGCUCUGAAUGAAGAGCACCUGCAGAGGCACUGCCAGCUGCACAGCACAGUCCUUCAGGAC
Thalassophryne amazonica is the source of this 237-nucleotide long non-coding RNA. RefSeq lists it as uncharacterized. NCBI's taxonomy places the organism in Eukaryota, Metazoa, Chordata, Actinopteri, Batrachoidiformes, Batrachoididae. The transcript has 4 exons. The record is from RefSeq and is a predicted model, not a curated record.